CUGUGGAGGAGGUAUCCCAGGAAGGGGGACCUCUCAGGAGUCUGCGAGUGGACAGCACGGACACAGGCACCAGGCAGGGGCCGGCACGCCACAGAGGCCCGGUCAUGUCAGCCCAGGUGCGUGGAUACCACCCUGGGGAGGCUGCCUUGGCCCCUCCCGCCACCUCCCCAGCUCCUGCCCACUCCCACACACACCUGGUCUUACCUCUUUCCAGUGUUCCUAAAUGGUGCUGAGUCCUUCCCGGUGUGGGAGGCUCCACUCUACAGACACCCCUGGGGAGUAUGGUAACAAACAAACCCGGUGCAGACAUGGCUCCAAUCCUGGCCGUCCCAGCUCUCAGGGGUGAACUCCAAGACCCCAGAAGCUCUGCCCUGGGCUUCUAUGACUUCUUUCAUCCCCACCUCAGUCCCAUCUUUCUUCAGUGAACACAUCCCACACUGUCAUCAUGGUCAUUGUCACCAUCACCCUACCUCAUGGAACCACAACUCCACAUUACCUUUAUCUCCACCAUCAAUAUCAUCUUCACCACCACUACCUCCACCAGCAUCACCACCUCCAUCACCAUCACCUCCACUUUUACCUCCACCAUCACCUCCACCUCCACUACCACCAUCACCACCUCCUCCACAUCCACCAUUGCCUCUACCUCCACCAUCACCUCCACCUCUACCAUCAUUACCUCCACCAUCACCUCCACCUCUACCAUCACUUCCAACCACCAUCACCUCCACCUUCACUAUCACCAUCACUACCUCCUCCACCUCCACCAUCGCCUCCACCUCUAGCACCAUUUCCUCCACCUCUAGCACUAUUACCUCCACCUCCACCACCAUCACCUCCAUCUCUACCAUCACCUUCACAUCCACCAUCACCUACAAACUCUACCAUCACUUCCAUCUCCACCACCUCCUCUAUCACCAUCAUUACCUCCUCCACCUGCAUCAUUGCCUCCACCUCCAGCACCAUUACUUCCAACAUCACCCCCACAUCCACCAUCACCUCCACCUCUACCAUCACCUUCACAUCCACCAUCACNNNNNNNNNNAUCGCCUCCACCUCCAGCACCAUUACCUCCACCUCCACCACCAUUACCUCCACCAUCAUCACCUUCACCUCUGCCAUCACCCCCAAUUCUACCAUCACC
Molecule: long non-coding RNA, 1144 nt
Filed under: Piliocolobus tephrosceles (Ugandan red Colobus)
Lineage: Eukaryota; Metazoa; Chordata; Mammalia; Primates; Cercopithecidae
Description: lncRNA (ENSPTEG00000028866.1)
Source: RNAcentral